RNAcentral lists this ribosomal RNA (322 nucleotides) under uncultured bacterium. RNAcentral's name for it is "bacterial SSU rRNA". It matches the Rfam family "Bacterial small subunit ribosomal RNA", at positions 29 to 332 of the family's 1533-position model. The record is from RNAcentral.
AACGAACGUUAGCGGCGCGCCUAACACAUGCAAGUCGCACGAGAAAGGGCUUCGGCCCCGGUAAAGUGGCGCGACGGGUCGAGUAACACGUGGGUAAUCUGCCCUCGAGCUGGGGAUAACAUUCCGAAAGGAGUGCUAAUACCGAAUAAGACCACGACCUCGAAAGGGAUGCGGUCAAAGCUGGCCUCGUAUACAUAAGCUAGCACUUGAGGAUGAGCCCGCGGCGCAUCAGGCUAAGUUGGUGAGGUAAUGGCUCACCAAGGCUAAGACGCGUAGCUGGUCUGAGAGGAUGAUCAGCCACACUGGAACUGAGACACGGUCC